Molecule: small nuclear RNA, 20 nt
Filed under: Arabidopsis thaliana (thale cress)
Lineage: Eukaryota; Viridiplantae; Streptophyta; Magnoliopsida; Brassicales; Brassicaceae
Description: snRNA_15160
Source: RNAcentral
GGUCAUCGCGCUUGGUUGAA